RNAcentral lists this ribosomal RNA (323 nucleotides) under uncultured eukaryote. Its description in RNAcentral is "partial 18S ribosomal RNA". It matches the Rfam family "Eukaryotic small subunit ribosomal RNA", at positions 1470 to 1796 of the family's 1831-position model. The record is from RNAcentral.
CCCUUAGAUGUUCUGGGCUGCAUACGCGCUACACUGAAGCUAUCAACACGUUUUCCCUCCCUGAGAAGGGCGGGUAACCUUUUGAAUCAGCUUCGUGGUAGGGAUCGGGGCUUGCAAUUGUUCCCCGUGAACCAGGAAUUCCUAGUAGACGCGAGUCAUAAGCUCGCAUCGAUUAAGUCCCUGCCCUUUGUACACACCGCCCGUCGCUACUACCGAUUGAGUGAUCCGGUGAAUAAUUCGGACUGCGGCAUUGACCGGUUCCCGAUCGUUGCUGCGGAAAGUUUAGUGAACCUUAUCACUUAGAGGAAGGAGAAGUCGUAACA